CGUCGAACGCCCUGGUGGUACAAAUCGCGCGAUGAAAAGAAAAAACAAGGUGGAAACAGAAAGAAAGUUUCAGAUAUCAACAGAAGUGUUAUAUCUUAAAACAGUUAAUUUUAUGCGAUGUCUUUGGCCCCUUAUUCGGAACACCUUAUUAUCUCCUGCUGCUCUUCAUAAUGUAAAACUAAAAUAAUGUAUGUAAUCAGACUGUAAUAAAAAUUAAUAAAAUUAUAAAAUAAGAAAAAAAAAUAUUUAGGUACGUUCUUUUUAUACAAUGUUCUAAAUGAAGAGGUAUUAUUCGAUUAUGUAUCAGAAUGAUUAAUGUUAUGAAAAGAAACUAUUUGAACAAAAUAACAAGCACUACUCAAAUAUCUAAAUCCUAAUGAAGUAAGUGACGCGUCGAAGGUCAGAAAAUAGAGAAAUAAUUUCUCAAUCGUAAAUUAUUCUGUUAUACAAGAAUUUCGAAUUUCAU
Long non-coding RNA from Hylaeus anthracinus, 466 nucleotides. RefSeq lists it as uncharacterized. The record is from RefSeq and is a predicted model, not a curated record. NCBI's taxonomy places the organism in Eukaryota, Metazoa, Arthropoda, Insecta, Hymenoptera, Colletidae. The transcript is spliced from 3 exons.